This is a long non-coding RNA of Daktulosphaira vitifoliae (grape phylloxera), 2362 nucleotides long. RefSeq lists it as uncharacterized. Lineage: Eukaryota; Metazoa; Arthropoda; Insecta; Hemiptera; Phylloxeridae. The transcript has 4 exons. The record is from RefSeq and is a predicted model, not a curated record.
ACGUGUACAUAAAGCAAACGACAGCAAUUAUAACAACAUGUUCAGCAGUAGCGUCAAGUGUGCUAGUGGUUUGUAAAAUUCUGUAACUCGUUAACAACAACUGACUGAUGUAUGUUUGAAAGUUACGAUUAUAUCGUUAAAAUGUUAUAAAACUUAUUUACCAGAAUCAGUCUUAUAGGAAUACUAAUAUUAAUUGAAUAUGUUUAAGUAUCUACACUAUAUAUAUUUUACACUGACCUUAUAUUUAUUAAAGUCUGGUACCUCAUAGAUCAUAUCAUAUUGUAGAUCAUAUCAUACAAGAAACGGUUUUUUACAAAUAAAUAAAAAUAUGUUUUUGACAUCAUAGUGCAUUGUUUGUUCAACUGUGAGGUAUAAGGUUGAUAUUUAUAAAAAAGACUUUAUAUGAAAAUGAAAUUUGUAUUCACUAUUGUACUAGAGUGUACAAUAAUUUUAAUGUGUGAAUUUUCGGAUAAAAUAACAAUUUUGGAUAUAUGCGUUUAAAUUGAGAUGAAAUUUGAUAUCUGAAACUAGGAAUCAGUAAAGGUAGAUAAAUUGGAAUUCUCUAGAGUGACCUAUUAAAUGAAAAGGGAUAUUAUGUGGCAAAAUGUCAAAAAUAGCUGUGUAUCGGCGUCUCCACAGAUUAGUUUCAAAGUCAUCUGGAAGUUUUUAGGGUAAAAUUCCUUAACAUGUCAUAACCCACUCAUUUUAAUUUAUUCGAUAAAUUAAAACGAUAAGCGAUAAUUUUGACAAGAACUCAAAUAUACGUAUGUCACUUUACAGUAGAUGAAUACAUUUUUUGAUAAAAUAUUUUUUAUUAUAUACUUCAUGACUAAAAAGAAAGCUGUUAUUUUAUUAUGAAAAAUUUAUUUUUGCUAAUUAACCGUGAUUUCAGCAUCGAAUCACAAAAUUAAAAAUAUGACAUAAGACUUUAUAGUUACUAUUAUCUACUAAACGUAUUAUUAAGUGUGUCUACUUAAUAAGACACGCAGUUUCAAUAAUAGCUAUAUAAUUCAUACGACGUGAAUAUUCUUUGAGAUUGUUAAUAUAACUAUGGUAACAUUAACAUUGUAUAUUUAUUUAUAAAUAAAAAUACAUUUUUAAGAUACUUGUGAGCAACUCUAUGAUUCUGAAAUUGACGUGUAUAAUUAAUUAAUAAUAAUAAAAUGCAAAGUGAAUCAAACUUAAUUCCUAAUUAGGGAAAAGGUAAUAAACAAAGGAAUAAGAGGAGAAAUAUCAGUAACAAAAAACCAGUUUGGUUUUGUGCCUGAAAGUCGACGAUAGAGCCAGUUUUUUGUGUAAGACAAUUAAAAGAAAAGUAAAGGGCAAAAGUGUAUGAUUGAGUACCGAGUUAGGUUUUAAAGUGAGUAUUAAUGAGAAAAGGAGUCCCGAAAAAGUACACUAAUAUGAUAGAGGAUAUGUAUGAUGGCAAUUGUACUAGUGUAAAACGUGUGUCGAAGUAACAGAAGAUUCUAGGGUAAGAGUAGGAGUACAUCAAAGUGAUGCUUUAAACCCUUUAUUUCAUUUUAAUUUAUUUUCUAUAGUGUUUGAUGAAAUUACUAAAAAAUUACAAGAAGAGGUGCGUGUUGUUCGCUGAUUAUAUAGUGUUAAUAGGAGAAAAUAAAGAAGAAAUUAAUUAAAGGCUUGUGGUGGGAGAUCAGAUUUUGAAGAAAAGGGAUAAAAAAUAAGUAAGACUACAACAGAGUAUAUAAAGUACGAGUUUGACAAAGGAGAACACGAGGUAGGUGAAACAGAAAAGAUCGGAGAUUAGUGACAAUAGGCGAGAACGUGAUAAGAGAGGUGGGAAGUUUUAAGUAUUUAGGAUCGUUUAGGCAAAAGAACAGUGGUUUCAACGAGGAUGUGAGAAACGGGAUUAAGUGCGGAUGAGUAAUGUGGAGAGAAGUAUCUGAUUUGUUAUGCGAUAAGAGAAUUCCAAUGUAGCUAAAAGGUAAGUUCUAUAAGACAGCAGCGAGAUCAGAUAUGAAGUAUGGUUCAGAAUGUUGGCGAUUGACAAGAAAGUAGAGCAGAGAUGAUAUUGGAUAAGGAACGAACAUAUAAGAGGUUUGAGUUCAAGUUUAAGAUAAGGUUGGCCGACACCAAGUAGUUUUGAUAAAGGCGAGGAAAAAAAAGAAGAAGAAGAAUCAAACCUAAUUCCGGAUUUAAAUUAAAGCUAUCUGUUGGUUUCUUUUAUGAUGCACAUAUUAAUACGUAUUAUAGCAGAGGUUAGUUUUUAAGAGGCAUAGGGUUCAAGCCCUAAAAAUUAAAAUUAUUAAAUGAUCUAAACGUUUUAAAUAACACAUACAAUUUGUAAUAAUAUUGAAAUUAUAAUAAUUUUAUUGGCUUCACAAAUAAUUUUACUAUGAUG